GAUGAAGAACGUAGCGAAAUGCGAUAAGUAAUGUGAAUUGCAGAAUUCAGUGAAUCAUCGAAUCUUUGAACGCACAUUGCGCCCCUUGGUAUUCCGAGGGGCAUGUCUGUUCGAGCGUCAUUAUAACCCCUCAAGCUCAGCUUGGUGUUGGGGCCUGCUGCACUGGCAGCCCUUAAAAUCAGUGGCGGCGCCAUCUGGCUCUAAGCGUAGUAAUUCUUCUCGCUAUGGAGUCCUGGUGGAUGCUUGCCAUCAACCCCCAAUUUUUCUAUGGUUGACCUCGGAUCAGGUAGGGAUACCCGCUGAACUUAAGCAUAUCAAUAAGCGAGGA
RNAcentral lists this unclassified non-coding RNA (328 nucleotides) under soil metagenome. RNAcentral's name for it is "partial contains 5.8S ribosomal RNA, internal transcribed spacer 2, and large subunit ribosomal RNA". The stretch from base 1 to 120 matches the Rfam family "5.8S ribosomal RNA", at positions 35 to 154 of the family's 154-position model. The record is from RNAcentral.